RNAcentral lists this ribosomal RNA (482 nucleotides) under uncultured bacterium. RNAcentral's name for it is "partial 16S ribosomal RNA". It matches the Rfam family "Bacterial small subunit ribosomal RNA", at positions 28 to 506 of the family's 1533-position model. The record is from RNAcentral.
GGCGAACGCUGGCGGCGUGCUUAACACAUGCAAGUCGAACGCUGAAGCUCAGCUUUUGUUGGGUGGAUGAGUGGCGAACGGGUGAGUAACACGUGAGUAACCUGCCCCCUUCUUUGGGAUAACGCCCGGAAACGGGUGCUAAUACUGGAUAUUCACUGGUCUUCGCAUGGGGGUUGGUGGAAAGGGUUUUUCUGGUGGGGGAUGGGCUCGCGGCCUAUCAGCUUGUUGGUGGGGUGAUGGCCUACCAAGGCUUUGACGGGUAGCCGGCCUGAGAGGGUGACCGGUCACAUUGGGACUGAGAUACGGCCCAGACUCCUACGGGAGGCAGCAGUGGGGAAUAUUGCACAAUGGGCGCAAGCCUGAUGCAGCGACGCCGCGUGAGGGAUGGAGGCCUUCGGGUUGUGAACCUCUUUCGCUCAUGGUCAAGCCGCAACAAUGGUUGUGGUGAGGGUAGUGGGUAAAGAAGCGCCGGCUAACUACGU